RNAcentral lists this ribosomal RNA (876 nucleotides) under uncultured Caldisericota bacterium. RNAcentral's name for it is "bacterial SSU rRNA". It matches the Rfam family "Bacterial small subunit ribosomal RNA", at positions 512 to 1380 of the family's 1533-position model. The record is from RNAcentral. Lineage: Bacteria; Pseudomonadati; Caldisericota.
CAGCCGCGGUAAUACGUAGGGGGCAAGCGUUAUCCGGAAUCACUGGGCGUAAAGGGUCCGCAGGUGUCCCGUUAAGUUAGAUGUUAAAUCGCAAGGCUCAACCUUGCGGCUGCAUCUAAUACUGACAGGAUAGAGGAUAGGUGACGGAAGUGGAAUUCCUGGUGGAGAGGUAAAAUCCGUAGAUAUCAGGAGGAACACCCGUGGCGUAGGCGGCUUCCGAACCUAUUCCUGACACUCAGGGACGAAAGCUGGGGGAGCAAACAGGAUUAGAUACCCUGGUAGUCCUAGCUGUAAACGAUGAAUACUAGAUAGUGGGUGCUACACCGUACUCACCGUCGUAGCUAACGCGUUAAGUAUUUCGCCUGGGAACUACGAUCGCAAGUUUGAAACUCAAAGGAAUUGACGGGUCCCCGCACAAGCAGCGAGGCAUGUGGCUUAAUUCGAUGCAACACGAAGAACCUUACCUGGACUUGACAUGUUUCUGAAAGGCCGGAGAAACCCGGUCCCUUCCAGUUUACUGGAACAGUUUCACAGGUGGUGCAUGGUUGUCGUCAGCUCGUGUCGUGAGAUGUAAGGUUAAGUCCUUAAACGAGCGUAACCUUUGUCAUUAGUUGCCACCGGUUCGGCCGAGCACUCUAAUGAGACCGCUAGCGACAAGCUAGAGGAAGAUGGAGAUGACGUCAAAUCCUCACGUCCCUUAUGUCCGGGGCCGCACACAUGCGACAAUGGUAGAGACAGCGGGUUGCGACGGGGUAACCCUGAGCUAAUCCAUAAACUCUGCCUCAGUACAGAUCGAGGGCUGAAAUUCGACCUCGUGAAGAUGGAGUUGCUAGUAAACGCAGGUCAGCUAUACUGCGUUGAAUACGUUCCCGGGGA